UUGUAUCUCUAGAGCGCGGUGGCCCCAACUCUUCCCAUCCCGAACAGAGUCUUGAAACGCCGUAGCGCCGACAAUAGUUGGGGGCUCUCCCCCCGCGAAGAUAGGUCGAGGUACAAA
Molecule: ribosomal RNA, 117 nt
Filed under: bacterium
Lineage: Bacteria
Source: RNAcentral